AUGCUGUCAGCAGAGCAUUUAUCAAGCCAGCGUAUCAGGUUGAUUUCUCCCAGCAAACCCACUCCAAAGCCACGUACAGAUAACACCACUAGCAUAGGAAGCUGGUUUGGAAACCAGCCCUCCCAUGGCACUGUCAGAGGAGUACCAAGAGGCUGCAAACCUCCCAUCGGCUGCCACGCGAGGGCUGUGACACCCCCUCCUUCAGCUGCUGAGGAACUCAAUCUGUGUUGGCAAUGCCUUUCAGGAGGCAAACCGGGUGAGGUUUGGAAGGAUGCACCUCGCAGGAACAACCCAUCUCCAGGAGCAGAGGGCUGA
RNAcentral lists this long non-coding RNA (315 nucleotides) under Cairina moschata (Muscovy duck). Its description in RNAcentral is "domestica (muscovy Duck (domestic type)) lncRNA (ENSCMMG00000008599.1)". The record is from RNAcentral. Lineage: Eukaryota; Metazoa; Chordata; Aves; Anseriformes; Anatidae.